RNAcentral lists this ribosomal RNA (253 nucleotides) under uncultured bacterium. Its description in RNAcentral is "partial 16S ribosomal RNA". It matches the Rfam family "Bacterial small subunit ribosomal RNA", at positions 524 to 776 of the family's 1533-position model. The record is from RNAcentral.
UACAGAGGGUGCGAGCGUUAAUCGGAAUUACUGGGCGUAAAGCGCACGUAGGUUGUUUAGCAAGUUGGAUGUGAAAUCCCCGGGCUUAACCUGGGAACUGCAUUCAAAACUACUAGACUAGAGUAAAGUAGAGGGAAGUGGAAUUUCCGGUGUAGCGGUGAAAUGCGUAGAUAUCGGAAGGAACACCAGUGGCGAAGGCGGCUUCCUGGACUUAUACUGACACUGAGGUGCGAAAGCGUGGGGAGCAAACAGG